Molecule: RNA transcript, 816 nt
Organism: Cornus florida
Lineage: Eukaryota; Viridiplantae; Streptophyta; Magnoliopsida; Cornales; Cornaceae
Gene name: imidazole glycerol phosphate synthase hisHF, chloroplastic-like
Exons: 3
Source: RefSeq, a predicted model, not a curated record
UAGCGCAAACAGCGCAGCAGCCAGUAAUUGACACCAAUGUAACCCUAGCAAAUGGAGACGCCUACAUUUAGUUAUGCACAGUUCCUGACUGUUGGAUCUUCAUCGUCUUUCUCGUCCGGUACCAAUUCUUUACAGUUCAGGCGUUUCGAGUUCGAUAAAAAGGCUCUCAAAUUCAAAUCCUCUUCAAGAUUCUCAGUUCGCGCCUCCUCUGCUGGAGCUGGAGAUUCUGGUGCACACCCUCCGUAAUAUAUUGGUGACUUUUCUUGAUUACGGGGCUGGUAAUGUUCGGAGUGUCAGAAAUGCUAUUCGUCGUCUUGGCUUUGACAUCAAAGAUGUGCAAACACCAGAUGACAUUUUAAAUGCAAAACGCCUAAUUUUCCCUGGGGUUGGGGCAUUUGCUGCAGCUAUGGAUGUGCUAAAUCAGAAUGGGUAAGCUUUGUAUAUAUGUUCCCAUUGCACCUUUGCCACCUAAGGUGUCAAGUCCACCUUAUUGCCCCAUGUCAGUGUGCUAGCGGCACAUUAAAUAGAUACAACAGGUAUUUAAUGCAAUUCGGCUAAUGGACAAGUUGCUCGAGAUUUUGGGACUCGAGGAAUGUCCUUGUGGUUGAGGUUUUCUAGAUUUGAGCUUUAUGUUUGAGGUUUUGAGACUCGAGAGUUGCCUCUUGAGGUUUAACUUUUGACCUGAGGCUUAUGCAGAGUUUUUCUUUGAGUAUCAAUGCUGACAUGGUCUCUGUUUUGACUUUUUUGCUGAUAUGGCUUUCGUUUGACUUUUUGUUGAUUUGGUUUUUGUUUGACUCCACAUAGUCGGCGCAUGAU